AUUGAACGCUGGCGGCAGGCUUAACACAUGCAAGUCGAGCGGGGUGAUGGUGCUUGCACUAUCACUUAGCGGCGGACGGGUGAGUAAUGCUUAGGAAUCUGCCUAUUAGUGGGGGACAACAUCUCGAAAGGGAUGCUAAUACCGCAUACGUCCUACGGGAGAAAGCAGGGGAUCACUUGUGACCUUGCGCUAAUAGAUGAGCCUAAGUCGGAUUAGCUAGUUGGUGGGGUAAAGGCCUACCAAGGCGACGAUCUGUGGCGGGUCCGAGAGGAUGAUCCGCCACACUGGGACUGAGACACGGCCCAGACUCCUACGGGAGGCAGCAGUGGGGAAUAUUGGACAAUGGGGGGAACCCUGAUCCAGCCAUGCCGCGUGUGUGAAGAAGGCCUUAUGGUUGUAAAGCACUUUAAGCGAGGAGGAGGCUCUUUUGGUUAAUACCCAAGAUGAGUGGACGUUACUCGCAGAAUAAGCACCGGCUAACUCUGUGCCAGCAGCCGCGGUAA
Molecule: ribosomal RNA, 503 nt
Filed under: uncultured bacterium
Lineage: Bacteria
Description: partial 16S ribosomal RNA
Rfam family: Bacterial small subunit ribosomal RNA
Source: RNAcentral